RNAcentral lists this ribosomal RNA (467 nucleotides) under uncultured bacterium. Its description in RNAcentral is "partial 16S ribosomal RNA". It matches the Rfam family "Bacterial small subunit ribosomal RNA", at positions 29 to 507 of the family's 1533-position model. The record is from RNAcentral.
ACGCACGCUGGCGGCGUGCUUCACCCCUGCCAGUCGCACGGAAAGGCCCUGCUUUUGUGGGGUGCUCGAGUGGCGAACGGGUGAGUAACACGUGAGUAACCUGCCCUUGACUUUGGGAUAACUUCAGGAAACUGGGGCUAAUACCGGAUAGGAGCUCCUGCUGCAUGGUGGGGGUUGGAAAGUUUCGGCGGUUGGGGAUGGACUCGCGGCUUAUCAGCUUGUUGGUGGGGUAGUGGCUUACCAAGGCUUUGACGGGUAGCCGGCCUGAGAGGGUGACCGGCCACAUUGGGACUGAGAUACGGCCCAGACUCCUACGGGAGGCAGCAGUGGGGAAUAUUGCACAAUGGGCGGAAGCCUGAUGCAGCAACACCGCGUGCGGGAUGACGGCCUUCGGGUUGUAAACCGCUUUCGCCUGUGACGAAGCGUGAGUGACGGUAAUGGGUAAAGAAGCACCGGCUAACUACGUG